UGGGGAAUCUUGCGCAAUGCGCGAAAGCGUGACGCAGCAACGCCGCGUGGGGGAAGAAGGCCUUCGGGUUGUAAACCCCUUUCAGUUGGGACGAAGGUUCGCCCGUUAACAGCGGGUUGGACUGACGGUACCUUCAGAAGAAGCCCCGGCUAACUACGUGCCAGCAGCCGCGGUAAUACGUAGGGGGCAAGCGUUGUCCGGAAUCAUUGGGCGUAAAGAGCGUGUAGGCGGCUUGGUAAGUCCGCUGUGAAAGUCCAGGGCUCAACCCUGGAAAGCCAGUGGAAACUGCCAAGCUAGAGUCCGGAAGAGGCGAGUGGAACUCCUGGUGUAGCGGUGAAAUGCGCAGAUAUCAGGAAGAACACCAAUGGCGAAGGCAGCUCGCUGGGACGCGACUGACGCUGAGACGCGAAAGCGUGGGGAGCAAACAGGAUUAGAUACCCCCGUAGUCC
RNAcentral lists this ribosomal RNA (449 nucleotides) under uncultured bacterium. RNAcentral describes it as "bacterial SSU rRNA". It matches the Rfam family "Bacterial small subunit ribosomal RNA", at positions 355 to 796 of the family's 1533-position model. The record is from RNAcentral.